RNAcentral lists this unclassified non-coding RNA (589 nucleotides) under Hevea brasiliensis (rubber tree). The record is from RNAcentral. Lineage: Eukaryota; Viridiplantae; Streptophyta; Magnoliopsida; Malpighiales; Euphorbiaceae.
CUGAUGAAGGCAUCACAGUUUGAGGACGACUAGCACGUCGGAUACCAAGUAACAAUUGAUUCUUUUCAUUCCAGAUAAAAAGGACUGAAUCCCCAGCGACAAGUCUUUUAGCACUUACAAACACACUCCACCCUGUUGUUAGAAGAUGCCUUUUGGGCUGGCCACGAAAGAUAUGCCUGAAUUUCCAUUCGUUAUCAUGUAGAUCCCUAGCAAUCAACUCUUGAGCUGGAGGUUGUUGGGAAAAGUCCAGUGGAGGAAACACUUUUUCAGCUGCCCGGCGAGGUACAGAGAAUCCUCCAUGAGUACUUGUGUCACUGGCCGUCAAAGUUUUACAAAAAUAAUUUGUUGGCUGUUUGCUGGGGGGNNNNGGGGUGCCCAAUUCCGCUGGAAGGUAGGCAUCCUUCUGCUCUUGAGGACUCAAUGGCUGCAAUGUCAUCUGUGCAUAUACUUCAUCUGUCUCAACAUCUGCAUGCAUGGUCACAUUGUGAAGCUGACAGAUAAGUUGCGGAGGUAAGCUUGGGUAGUUAGGGAUAUGGGCAUCAACUUCUUUGUUAGUUGAUGCAGCAACCUGCUCGCUGUGACCCUGGGG